UACGUAGGGGGCGAGCGUUGUCCGGAUUUAUUGGGCGUAAAGAGCGUGUAGGCGGCCAGGUAGGUCUGCUGUGAAAACUCGAGGCUCAACCUCGAGACGUCGGCGGAAACCAUCUGGCUAGAGUCCGGAAGAGGAGAGUGGAAUUCCUGGUGUAGCGGUGAAAUGCGCAGAUAUCAGGAAGAACACCCGUGGCGAAGGCGGCUCUCUGGGACGGUACUGACGCUGAGACGCGAAAAGCGUGGGGGAGCGAAACAGG
RNAcentral lists this ribosomal RNA (256 nucleotides) under uncultured bacterium. RNAcentral describes it as "partial 16S ribosomal RNA". It matches the Rfam family "Bacterial small subunit ribosomal RNA", at positions 524 to 776 of the family's 1533-position model. The record is from RNAcentral.